ACUGCCGGUGAUAAACCGGAGGAAGGCGGGGAUGACGUCAAGUCCUCAUGGCCCUUAUGUCCAGGGCUACACACGUGCUACAAUGGGCAGUACAAAGGGUAGCAAGCCUGCGAAGGUGAGCCAAUCUCAAAAAGCUGUUCGUAGUUCGGAUUGGAGUCUGCAACUCGACUCCAUGAAGCUGGAAUCGCUACGUAAUCGCGGAUCAGCAUGCCGCGGUGAAUACGUUCCCGGGCCUU
This 236-nucleotide ribosomal RNA is filed under the name uncultured Thauera sp. RNAcentral describes it as "partial 16S ribosomal RNA". It matches the Rfam family "Bacterial small subunit ribosomal RNA", at positions 1148 to 1382 of the family's 1533-position model. Lineage: Bacteria; Pseudomonadati; Pseudomonadota; Betaproteobacteria; Rhodocyclales; Zoogloeaceae. The record is from RNAcentral.